CAGCAGCCGCGGGAAUACGGAGGGUGCAAGCGUUAAUCGGAAUUACUGGGCGUAAAGCGUGCGUAGGCGGUUCGUUAAGUCUGUUGUGAAAGCCCCGGGCUCAACCUGGGAAUGGCAAUGGAUACUGGCGAGCUAGAGUGUGUCAGAGGAUGGUGGAAUUCCCGGUGUAGCGGUGAAAUGCGCAGAGAUCGGGAGGAACAUCAGUGGCGAAGGCGGCCAUCUGGGACAACACUGACGCUGAGGCACGAAAGCGUGGGGAGCAAACAGGAUUAGAUACCCCCGUAGUCCCUGUCUCUUAUAC
RNAcentral lists this ribosomal RNA (301 nucleotides) under uncultured bacterium. RNAcentral's name for it is "partial 16S ribosomal RNA". It matches the Rfam family "Bacterial small subunit ribosomal RNA", at positions 509 to 807 of the family's 1533-position model. The record is from RNAcentral.